RNAcentral lists this ribosomal RNA (497 nucleotides) under uncultured bacterium. RNAcentral describes it as "partial 16S ribosomal RNA". It matches the Rfam family "Bacterial small subunit ribosomal RNA", at positions 28 to 507 of the family's 1533-position model. The record is from RNAcentral.
GACGAACGCUGGCGGCGUGCCUAAUACAUGCAAGUUGAGCGCUGAAGGUUGGUACUUGUACCAACUGGAUGAGCAGCGAACGGGUGAGUAACGCGUGGGGAAUCUGCCUUUGAGCGGGGGACAACAUUUGGAAACGAAUGCUAAUACCGCAUAAAAACUUUAAACACAAGUUUUAAGUUUGAAAGAUGCAAUUGCAUCACUCAAAGAUGAUCCCGCGUUGUAUUAGCUAGUUGGUGAGGUAAAGGCUCACCAAGGCGAUGAUACAUAGCCGACCUGAGAGGGUGAUCGGCCACAUUGGGACUGAGACACGGCCCAAACUCCUACGGGAGGCAGCAGUAGGGAAUCUUCGGCAAUGGACGAGAGUCUGACCGAGCAACGCCGCGUGAGUGAAGAAGGUUUUCGGAUCGUAAAACUCUGUUGGUAGAGAAGAACGUUGGUGAGAGUGGAAAGCUCAUCAAGUGACGGUAACUACCCAGAAAGGGACGGCUAACUACGUG